ACACCUCAACUCUCGCGGUUCGCCACGAUGAGCUUGGACUUUGGGGGUCUUGCCGGCCUGUGGUCGGCUCCUCUCAAACAAAUCAGCUUGCCAGUGUUUGGUGGCAUCACAAGUGUGAUAACUAUCUGCGCUCGUGGUUUUCCACCAGUCAACCUUCAGUGAUGAAGGUUCGCUGGAGCUCACAAACGUCCCUCCUCUGUGAGGACAACUUUUUGAAC
This 218-nucleotide unclassified non-coding RNA is filed under the name uncultured Thelephoraceae. Its description in RNAcentral is "sequence contains ITS2". The record is from RNAcentral. Lineage: Eukaryota; Fungi; Basidiomycota; Agaricomycetes; Thelephorales; Thelephoraceae.